CUAUACUGUGAAACUGCGAAUGGCUCAUUAAAUCAGUUAUCGUUUAUUUGAUAGUACCUUUACCUGGAUAACCGUGGUAAUUCUAGAGCUAAUACAUGCUAAAAACCUCGACUUCGGAAGGGGUGUAUUUAUUAGAUAAAAAACCAAUGCCCUUCGGGGCUCCUUGGUGAAUCAUAAUAACUUAACGAAUCGCAUGGCCUUGCGCCGGCGAUGGUUCAUUCAAAUUUCUGCCCUAUCAACUUUCGAUGGUAAGAUAGAGGCUUACCAUGGUCUUAACGGGUAACGGGGAAUUAGGGUUCUAUUCCGGAGAGGGAGCCUGAGAAACGGCUACCACAUCCAAGGAAGGCAGCAGGCGCGCAAAUUACCCAAUCCCGACACGGGGAGGUAGUGACAAUAAAUACUGAUACGGGGCUCUUUUGGGUCUCGUAAUUGGAAUGAGUACAAUCUAAAUCCCUUAACGAGGAACAAUUGGAGGGCAAGUCUGGUGCCAGCAGCCGCGGUAAUUCCAGCUCCAAUAGCGUAUAUUAAAGUUGUUGCCGUUAAAAAGCUCGUAGUUGAACCUUGGGCCUGGCUGACCUGUCCUCCUAAUCGAGCGCACGGGUUCGGUCGGGCCUUUCCUUCUAGGGAACCCCAUGCCCUUCACUGGGUGUGGUGGGGAACUAGGACUUUUACCUUGAAAAAAUUAGAGUGUUCAAAGCAG
Molecule: ribosomal RNA, 700 nt
Filed under: Chaetothyriales sp.
Lineage: Eukaryota; Fungi; Ascomycota; Eurotiomycetes; Chaetothyriales
Description: SSU rRNA
Rfam family: Eukaryotic small subunit ribosomal RNA
Source: RNAcentral